GCGCCCGUAGCUCAGCUGGAUAGAGCAACUGCCUUCUAAGCAGUAGGUCGACCGUUCAAGUCGGUCCGGGCGUGCCA
Molecule: transfer RNA, 77 nt
Filed under: Candidatus Omnitrophota bacterium
Lineage: Bacteria; Pseudomonadati; Candidatus Omnitrophota
Description: Candidatus Omnitrophica bacterium tRNA-Arg
Rfam family: tRNA
About the family: Transfer RNA (tRNA) molecules are approximately 80 nucleotides in length. Their secondary structure includes four short double-helical elements and three loops (D, anti-codon, and T loops).
Source: RNAcentral